GAUGAACGCUGGCGGUAUGCUUAACACAUGCAAGUCGAACGGGAUUCUUCGGAAUCUAGUGGCGGACGGGUGAGUAACGCGUGAGAAUCUGCCUUCAGGUCGGGGACAACAUUUGGAAACGAAUGCUAAUACCCGAUGUGCCGCGAGGCGAAAGGUUAACUGCCUGAAGAUGAGCUCGCGUCCGAUUAGCUAGUUGGUGGUGUAAAGGACUACCAAGGCGACGAUCGGUAGCUGGUUUGAGAGGACAAUCAGCCACACUGGGACUGAGACACGGCCCAGACUCCUACGGGAGGCAGCAGUGGGGAAUUUUCCGCAAUGGGCGAAAGCCUGACGGAGCAAUACCGCGUGAGGGAGGAAGGCUCUUGGGGUUGUAAACCUCUUUUCUCAGGGAAGAACAGAAUGACGGUACCUGAGGAAUAAGCAUCGGCUAACUCCGUGCCAGCAGCCGCGGUAAU
This 455-nucleotide ribosomal RNA is filed under the name uncultured cyanobacterium. RNAcentral describes it as "bacterial SSU rRNA". It matches the Rfam family "Bacterial small subunit ribosomal RNA", at positions 28 to 524 of the family's 1533-position model. The record is from RNAcentral. Lineage: Bacteria; Bacillati; Cyanobacteriota.